GUGUCAGCCGCCGCGGUAAUACGGAGGGUGCAAGCGUUAUUCGGAUUUACUGGGCGUAAAGGGCGCGUAGGCGGCUUGAUAAGUCAGUCGUGAAAGCCCGGGGCUCAACCCCGGAAGUGCGAUUGAAACUAUCAGGCUUGAGUAUGGUAGAGGGAAGUGGAAUUCCAGGUGUAGCGGUGAAAUGCGUAGAUAUCUGGAGGAACACCGGUGGCGAAGGCGACUUCCUGGACCAAUACUGACGCUGAUGCGCGAAGGUGUGGGUAGCAAACAGGAUUAGAUACCCCAGUAGUCC
This 292-nucleotide ribosomal RNA is filed under the name uncultured bacterium. RNAcentral's name for it is "partial 16S ribosomal RNA". It matches the Rfam family "Bacterial small subunit ribosomal RNA", at positions 505 to 796 of the family's 1533-position model. The record is from RNAcentral.